GCUUUACGGAAAAUUCAUCGAAAUUGAUAAAUUGUGUUCUGCUGAUUUACCGUUAGAAACCAAAAUGAAGAUGCUGAAUUUCAUGAAAAGAUACGGUAAAACUCCAUUUGGAAUAAGCGUUGGCGGAUUCUUUUAUGUUAAAAAGAACUUCUUAAUUCGAUGUAUUAGUGCCUUGUAUUCAGCGCUCUCUGUCUUGACUGAACUUCUAAUUGCAAAGAAGCCAUCUUCUUGUAAAAUUAAGAUUGGAGACUUAAUACAAUAACGAAGUUUUGUCUCACAGGCUGACUGGACACUGACGUAAAAGCUUGAAUGUAAGCAGACUUAAUACAGAAAAAUGAAACAUUGCAUUCGAAAAACGACGACCAGUGUAGACUUGAGAACAUCUAAAAUCUCGAAAAGUCAACGUGUAACGAAACGUCAAAAUUUAACGCUUGACUCUCUCGGAGAUUAACACAUUUUUUCCUCAUUUAAUUUAAUUUAAAUGUUAGCUGUCUAAUUUUUUAAAAAUUUAUUAUAUCGCUUUGUUCUGAUUAAAUUUAGAUUCGUCUGCCACAAAUGUAAAACGUUGUCUCAGAAUGAAGCGGAAGAAAUUUCGAAUGACCCGGCAGAACAAUUGAAUAUACCGAAUAUUAAAACUGAAAAACAAACUGAUGUCAAAGAAAGUUUUCAGUUUGUUCUUUAAACUACAAAUUUUCUCUAAUCAUUGUAAUUACGUUAUAAUAGAGGAUAUGAUUUGAAUUGUCAAAUCUACCAAAUUAAAG
This is a long non-coding RNA of Centruroides sculpturatus (bark scorpion), 761 nucleotides long. RefSeq lists it as uncharacterized. The transcript has 3 exons. NCBI's taxonomy places the organism in Eukaryota, Metazoa, Arthropoda, Arachnida, Scorpiones, Buthidae. The record is from RefSeq and is a predicted model, not a curated record.